CAGAUGGUGUGGUGGGGAUGCACUACCACUCGGAAGGGAUAUAAGGCGGCCGCCUUUGACAGAGGGUCCAGUCAUGUCACGAAUUUCCACCAUUCACAUUUGAAUACUCGCUGUACGCAUGCUCCGCAAUCAAAGAGAAGGGGUAAUGUAAGUGCGUUAGUCGAUCACUCAUUCAUUCAAUAAUCUAUACGAUUUGUAUCUGUUUAGAAUCAGAUGGUAUGGUGGGGAUACUCUGCCACCCGUGAAGUGAUAUAAGGCGGCCGCUGUUGACAGUUGGUCCAGUUAUGCCACGAAUUUCCACCAUUCACAUUUGAAAACUCGCAGUACGCACGCUCCACAAGUAAAGGAGAAGGGAAUCAAACGGUGUGGUGAGGAUAUUCUGCUACUCGUGAAGAGAUACAAGGAGACCGGCUUUGACAGUUUUCCAGAAUGCCAUGAAUAUUAACGAAAACUUAAAAACCUCUUUGCAGUCGCGCGCGUUGCAAUGAUGUAAUCGAGUGUUAGCAUCGCUAAAAUAAAUUUAUCGCGAUGUAGAAUCAGUGUUUGUUCGUUCGCGUUUCGCGACUUAAACCAUAAGUGUUUUUGCAAAGACUGCGCGCAAUGCAGUCGUUAGAGUCAGUGUUUGUUCGUAAAAGUUUUUGUUUUUCUAACAGUCGCACAGACUGUUCUUAUAAUAUAUAAUAGAGUUUCGCGAAAUAAAUUCAGUGUCCGUUCGUUAAUAAAUAUCUACCGCGAAUUAGAGUCAGUGCAUCACCGAAGAGGAUCUCGACCAACUUCGAUGUCGACCUACCUCAUUUUCAACCAACUACGAAUCAUCCACCCUCAAUUUCGACCUAAGUCGCGGUGCAGUGUUUUGGAGCCGUCGCAGAACUUCUAAAGUAGUAAGUUAAUUUUUAAAUUCCUCCUAUCACUCAAUCAUGCCGAGGACGAAAGGUCCGAAUCGGCACGAGUGAUUGGUUGUAAUUAAUUAGUAGAAGAGCAAUGAGUGACCACGAGUAAACUUCUUCGGAGAUUUACUCGUGAAUGGUUCGUUAUUUUUUGAUUUAUUUAUUAGAUCAGGAUAGAGUCUUCUUGCUUAAACGCGUUAAUUAUAAUUAUUUGAAAUUUCGAAUAUUUAAAUGCAUUUUGAAAUAACUUUCUCUCGCGAAAAUAGUAAAGUAUCGCGAUAUUCGCGAAUUUUAAUAAUGAAUAAGCAAGAAAACAUUCGCGAUGGAUAGUCUCUGGAUUACAAACGAAAUUAUAUAAUUUAUUUUGUAAUAAUUAGAGUAAUUGUUUGUAAGAAGGAGCAUCCAAUGACUUUUCAUAACAUUUUUAAUAAAGAUUAAGAAAUUGUGUUAAUAAAAGAAAAGUCUCAAUAGAGUCAUUGCUUUUGAAAGAAUAAAGUAGAGUAGAGUCAUUGAUAAAAGAUAAAGAGACUUGUAGAAUCACAACGCGUAGAACAUAGAAUAUGUUAAUCAAUUUUUAGCUUAGGAUUUUCAGCAAUUAAUAUAUUAAUUCUCGUUUCCCUUCCGAUGCUUUCUCGAUUUUUCGUUUCAGGUUUGGUUUAGAGUUGCUUUAGAUUCAUUAGUUUUUUUCUAUGUCUUAGAAAAUGAUCGGUUGUAGUUCUUUAGUACUGACGAUAGUUAUCGAAUGCGUUCUAUGGUUGUGGUUAGGGCACGAAGCAAAGAAGAGGCUAUAUGCCGAAGAGGCCCCCACAUAUUGUGGCUCAAGAGGGCAACUAUUAGAUUAUUGAGUUAUUUUCGAAGGUUCGACAGAACAUUUCGAGAAUGGCUCUUAAUCAUACUUUCAUUAUACCAUGUUGUCACUCAAAAUGCUCUUAUAUAAUGAUAAUAUUAUUUUUAGAAACUGAGACUACGUAACAUUCCGUCUCCCAUCUCACAUUGCCACGCGUCCGCGAAUAGAAUUUUUACAUAUUUUAUACAUUUUUAUUAUUAAAAUCAAGUAAUAAAUUUUUCGCAUUUUUCUUUCCUAAAAUUCAAUUAAAUCCGUAAUUUUAGUUUUAUAAAGUUAAGUUUUGUAUUAAAUUAAUAAUUUCGAAACGUAUAAAAUAUGGCAAUUGUGAGGACCACUGAAAGUGCACAUGGGAAUGAGAUAAGAACAUUUAAAUACAUAGCAUAUUCUUUACUUACUUUUACAGGUAGAAUACCUAACGGGAUUGCACUAUCACCGAGCGUAUAGCUGCACACUUUAAAUUAAACAAUUAUUUUAAAUAGUUGAUUAAAUUGUUGAUUAACUCCUCUAUCUUCUCUCGGGUGGGACCCUUGGGAGGGGCCCUCGGGUGUGGGCCUUAGGCGGGUUCGUUCUUUCACUAAGGAAAAGUUAGAUUCAAUUAUUGUAUUCUGAUUUUCGAAUGAACCGCUCUUCGAGAUACACAUUCAUCAUUCUGAAUUCUAUUUUUCUCACGCGCACAUAGACAAAUAUUAUAUCUGUUUCUCUGUUACAGGUUAGAUCAUCGAGGGACCGAUCAUCGUGAAAUUAAAUUUUUACAGGGAAGUUUUUGAAUAUAAAUAUCUUUUUGCAUUUAAUUUUGCAGAUAAUUUUUGCUCUUAUAUUUAAUUUUUAUUAUCUUUUUAAUUUUUGCUCUUAUAUUUAAUUAUUACUAACUUUUUAAUUUUUGUACUUAUAUUUAAUUUUUGUUAUUAACAUUUUAAUUUUUGCACUUUAUUUAUUUCUUGCUUUAUUUUAUUCUGUUUCAGGUUAGGUGAUCGAGAGACCGAUCAUCGCGAAA
Molecule: long non-coding RNA, 2728 nt
Organism: Vespula vulgaris
Lineage: Eukaryota; Metazoa; Arthropoda; Insecta; Hymenoptera; Vespidae
Exons: 3
Source: RefSeq, a predicted model, not a curated record